This is a non-coding RNA of Hydra vulgaris (swiftwater hydra), 156 nucleotides long. Lineage: Eukaryota; Metazoa; Cnidaria; Hydrozoa; Anthoathecata; Hydridae. The record is from RefSeq and is a predicted model, not a curated record.
AAAAGUUAAAGAAAAUAUAUGAAGUCAAUGAUAAAUUUUAAAGUUUUACAAAGAUUAAUAAAUAGAAGUUAUUAAAUGUUGGUGGCUCAUAAUGCAGUGCAUUUAAGAAGGGCAUGCUUUCAAAGGUUAAGACUACUUUCCUGAUUCCUACAACAA